This is a long non-coding RNA of Lagenorhynchus albirostris (white-beaked dolphin), 5469 nucleotides long. RefSeq lists it as uncharacterized. The transcript is spliced from 3 exons. NCBI's taxonomy places the organism in Eukaryota, Metazoa, Chordata, Mammalia, Artiodactyla, Delphinidae. The record is from RefSeq and is a predicted model, not a curated record.
ACCAUAGAUUUUUUAGGACAAACGAGUUGACCGUUACAGAAUCGUGUGGGAGGAGCCCCGGGAUCCUGUAGGCGCCGCGUCACCGCCACACGGCCCUGCCCCAAAUGUCCCAUGACAACUUCAUUUCUCUUCCAAAGGUCACUGCCAGGAACUCAACUGCUAAAUCUUUGAGAGAGGAGAAAAGUCUACCCCAGAGUCUGCUGCUUUCUGGUUGUAAACAGAGAACCGUGCUCUGCCCGGAAACAAGGGAGCAAAAGAAAUCGUGUGACACACGGAAACCUCUGCAUGGGGGCCCGGGGACACCAAGAACUCAGACCCUCCUCUGGACCAGCCAGGCCGCCCCUGACCUGAAGGAAACACUCUUUCCCAGAGCAAUCUGGAGUCACGCCACUUUCUGAGGCUCACGUUGCUAAAGGACGUUUUGUCCUCAGUCUUUCCACUUUUAGUCACACCUGAGACCUCAGACACGUAGCCAGGCCCGUCUGCCCAUCCACGCCAUCUGUGCACGCCCCUGCCGCCACCCCACUGCAGACACAGUUAUCAAAUGUCGCCGACUUACAGCAAGAGUGGGGGUCUCUGGGCGCCCCCCCCACACCCCAGCAUUUCUGCACACUUUGCAAACAGAGGCACCAAAGAACAGAGAAGAAAAGGACUGAGGAAAAGUGAAGCUCCUCGUGGCCUGUGGGACAAUAGGAAACCGUCCACCAUUCAUGUUGGAGCCUCGGAGAGAGGAGGGGUUCAUACUGGGGCAGGAAAAGGCGAUUUGAAGAAAUAAUGACCAACACUUUCCCUAAUGUGACGAAAACUUUGACUUUUAAUCCAAUAAGCUUAGCAGGAUAAAUACUCCAAGUGGGAUAAAUACAAACAACUCCACACUGAGGCACAUCAUAGUCAAACUGAUGAAACCAGAGAUUAGAGAACAUCCUGGAGGUGGCAGAGCAAAGAGGCAGCUACUAUGGGGCAGUGACAGCGGUGACAGCGACAGGGGAGCCAGAGGAAAGGGAUGAUGCUUUUAAAGAAAAAGGAAAAAAACCCACCAAUCCAGAAUUUCACAUCCAGUGAAAAUAUCUUUUAGAAAAAAAGGUGAAAUAAGGACAUUUUCAGAAAAACCAUCACCAGCAGACCUGCACUCCAAGAAAUGCUGAGGCGGAAGGGGAAUGUACCUGUUGGAAACCUGGAUGCACAGGAGGGGACGGAGGGCUCUGGAAAGUGAGUGGGAAAACUGAAAACAUUCAGCAUAUUUUCCUGUUAAUUUCCAUAAGAGAGAAUGAACUCUUCUAGGGAAAAUGAUAACCCCUUUGGCACAGCCUGUCACAGCAGCUGCAUCACGCUCACCGCCAAAUGCCAGGCUCCCGGUGACGUCUGUGCGGAUGGGACAGAGUUAGUGACUCUCGUCCUGCUGACCCGGAACGGGAAUCUGCUGACCCAACCCAACGUCAACGUGAUAGCUUGUUGAGGAAAGGCCCACAAGGGCUCACAAUCUUGCCUAAGACCUUCUUUCCUUUUUAAUGCACCAGUAGUUAAGCCCCACACCUAUUCUGACAGCUCCCAAGUCCAGAGUGAUCAAGACAAUGACGGGCACGACACAAACACCAGGAAGAACCCGAGGGCAGGCCGCCAGUCAUCAGAACCAGGAGGAAACUGUUGGCAUGAAAUCACCACCUGCGCAGUGACCAGCAGGCCAGCGCUGGUAACUCACCCUACAAGGCGUAACACUCACACGGAGGCGACGGCCCACCCAACCCCAGAAACGUGAAACUUUCGGCAUUCAUGAACGGUGCUUUCUGGCUUUUUAUUUUCUUCAGUAAACAGCUAUUAGAUUAUCACCCACUUCUUUAAAGCGGGAUUUAGCUCGGCAACUUAGUAACCAAAAAUACAGUCAUCUCAGUUUUUGGAACCCACCUGCAUUUCUCCUCUUAGUCCACAAGCAAUCCUGGACACCUCCCAGAAGCACGUGACAUGUGACCCCCAGCCUUAGCACCAGCAGCUUCUCUGGCUCUUGGUCCAUUAAAGCCUUGGAGCUGCAGGGCGUUCUGAGCCCCUCCUGCCCACUGACCUGCUCCUGGGUCUGCCCCCCUCCAGCACUCACCCCCUGAGGGAAGACAGCCAGUCCUGAGCUGUUUAACUUCCUUUCUACACCUUCUGAUGUCCAAGCCACUUCUGCGUGGAUUCAGCGCUACUGCAAGGAGCAUUUGGACUCAGUGGCUUGCAGGACUGCCUCAUGGCUAACGGGAACAUUCUAAACCAACGCAGGUGGACAGCCUCAUUGGUCUGAGCUGCCUGCUGCCAGGCAGAAGCAGACACAGCUACACACCCAGUAAGCAGGGUGACGCGGUGGGGUCGGGUGAGCCACGGCAGCAGGUGAGUGGUGCUGCACAGUCGAGGUGCCCAGGCUGGAGCCAAGUGGCCUGGCUCUGUCUCUGAGUUUCAUCUGGGGCUGGGCCGGGGCCUGGGCUGCCCCUCAGGAAGCCCCUGGGGGAUCCCCGCCCCUCCCCACCCCAAAACCUGGGGAGGAGAGGGGACGAUUCCUCGCUCCACGCAUGCUCACUGAGCAGCACUGAGUGUCAGAGCUGGGCUGGGGGCAGCGGGAGCUCUGGGACCACCAGGUCGGGUGUGGUUUACCGACAUUAGGUGAGGAUCACUGCCUCAUCCGUCUGUCUUAAGCUUCUGAGUCACUACAGGGGAUGGAGUGGGGGCUGGCUCUGGGAACUCACUCUGCAGUGACUCAGUGACCGUGGCCACGCCCACCUCCUCCUCUGACGAAUGUGCUCCAUGGACACACUGGACACACCAUAAACGCUGCAUCCCGGGAAACGCCCGCCUAUGAGUCCUACCUGCUCUCGGCUCCACCGUCUUGUUGGCCCCCUCCUCCAUGAACACAAACCGCCCGCCACCGAAGUCAUCCAGGACCCCUUGAAGUCCGGGACGGGAGGUGGCCGGAUAGUUGUCCCAUCUGUGGAGCUUCAGGACUUACUAUAGCUGGAUCACCAAACCAGGCUACAUUCAGUGUUGUCUUUCCUGAACCCACACUUCCCGGUACAUGGAGGGCUGCUCUUCCUUCGUUGCAGGGAAAUUCUCCGGACUCCGUCCCACGCGUGAGGCUCCUUGCUGUGCGAACCUGUCCUCCACACACGUCGUCUUUGCUCUCAACCCCAUAAAACCCUGUUUUUCCCUCUGCAAUAUCUACGAUGAUCUUAUACUGAAGGUCUCGGUCCUGGUCCCCUAAUGAAAUAAGGCACCUGGGCAAUGGUUAUCAAUGGGUCAAUGGCUGCUAGAGCCAUGAAGUGAGGGUGGACAGGAGGCUUGAUUGUGGAUGGAUCAGACCGAACCCACUGAUCAACCUUAAGCCCAUGGGAAGAGAACAAGCAGACACUGUACUCCCCCUUAGGGUGAAGCCCACACUUCCAACCCGAGUUCCAUCGAGCCCUCCAAGCUGCACUGGCUCAGACAAGCCACUGGCCACAUAAAGCUACUUCAAUUUAAGUUAAUUUAAUUAAAUACUGGGUUCCUCAAUCUCACUAACCACACUUACGUGCUCCCCUCCUCCACUGAGCUCAGACAGUCGAGAUGAAAUAAACACAUGCGUAUCUGACUGAACUUCAGGCAGAAGCCCAACCUGCGAGCUUCUGCCCAAACCCUCUGCUUACUUUUCACUUCGCUUCCUGUGUUCCAGGGUCAAGCGACACAGAGAUUAUCUGGGUCACCUGAGCACACCCGCGGCUGGGGUGACCGCCAACAGCCCUCAGAUGUUUCCGUGGCCAACCGUCCCCUGGCGCCACGCUGCGUGUGCUGGCUGAGUGGGGCGGGGCAGUGGCUGCGAUGCAGGCGGGGGAGGGCUUCAGCUGUGGCUGACCAGGACCGCAGAUUGAUUAGGCGCCACUGUGUCUAGGGAACAGCAAGAGAUCAAGAAAGGGGAAUCUGCAGAAUCUGGAGUGGUCGAGAAAUCUUCCCAAGGAAAGGUGAAAAGUGGGAAGAAGGGGGCCUCCUGGGCAGGGUGCGGGACGCAGGCCCGAGGAGAGACCACACGACAGAAAGGCCAGGUCAAUCGAGGCCGGGUCAGGUUACAUCCGACGAAGCUCACAGCUCAGGUGGAGACAGCUCUGCGUGUGGGAACAAGUAGCAAAGGAGGGUCCCCAUCAGGCCCUCACUGUUCUGUAAUGUGCUUUUCACAGUCUUCUGUCACCUCAUCACACGAGAAACAAAUCUUAUCUCCUCGACCUCACCAGUGAGAGAGGAAACUUCUAGAACCCUGACCACGUGAGCAGACAGCACCCAGCUCGGGCCGUGGUGGACAAGCCCCAGGUUCGCUCACCUUGUCCACGUGCGCGUGCCAGUACUCGUCAUGAGCCGUGCGGGCCGCCGUGCUGUUGAUGCGGGAGAAGAAGGUGGGCUUCGUCAGGCGCAACAAGGACGCGCUGAUGCCAAACGCCUGGGCGAUGGCCAGCUGGACCUUCUGCCGCAGGUCCCUGCCGAGAGGACACAGGUGUCAGCCACACAGGAAAGAAUUCUCCCCGGGCCCAUAGGGCCCGCACCAUGGGACACUGAAACGGAGCAGGACCCUCUGGUCCUUGCCCCCAACCCCCAUGUUCUCAGCCUGCCUUUUGUCUGUGGAAACACUUUAGCCAAAGAAUAAGUUUAAUCAGAGAAGUGAGAAAAUGCAGAAACAAAGGAAAAUAGUCAAACGAGACCAAAUAAUAAUAGUUUAGUCAUUAAGCAAAGUCAAGGACCUUUAGUUCCCCCUCAAGGGCUAUAGAUAAUAUUCUGAGCCAUAUCCUGUGAGCUGUUUUGCAGAUACUGAAGCCCCCACCAGGUUGAAGGAGGAUGACUACAUGAUGACCGAAUUGAAGCCACGACAUAAGCUACUCCACUUCACACAAUUCCGAGAACUGGCCUCAGAGAAAUGGGAACAAACCCUGGAACUAAAGAUUAACUGUACUUAACCAAGAUGAUGCUGGUCAGACCACAUUACUGGUUUCAAGCUGACUGUCAGAACUGACUAUGCUGUUCUCUCCCUCUCUCUGCCUGUAUAACCCUGAAACUCCCCUUUAAAAGCCCCUGUCCCCUGAGCAGCAAUCAGGAGUUGGUUCUCAGACAGGAGUCCACCCUCUCCCCCGGUUGCUGGCCCCUGAAAUAAAGCAACCUUUCCUUCCCCACCAACACUUGUCUCUCAAGAAUUGGCUUUCGAGCAGCGAGCAGCUGGACCUGGGUUCGGUAACACUACAGAAAGACAAGGGCUGGCAAAGGUGAAAGGUGAACAGAUGCACACACAGGUCCGCACACGUGGGACAGGGUAUCACGUGCACACCCAGGAACCUGAGGGCCAGUUCUCUGCAGGACUGACCGCAGCACUCCCAGCCCUGCCGCCACCUUCCCCCUUCCUGACCUGGGCAUUCCUUCCCUCACCGGUACAGCUGGAAGUCCUCUUCUGAGAAGAUAGUUUGUAUUUUAUCCCCAAAGUAUCUGUGAAAA